RNAcentral lists this small nuclear RNA (19 nucleotides) under Arabidopsis thaliana (thale cress). Its description in RNAcentral is "snRNA_08554". Lineage: Eukaryota; Viridiplantae; Streptophyta; Magnoliopsida; Brassicales; Brassicaceae. The record is from RNAcentral.
GGCCGAGGCUGGAGCUGAC